Molecule: ribosomal RNA, 728 nt
Filed under: Paenarthrobacter sp.
Lineage: Bacteria; Bacillati; Actinomycetota; Actinomycetes; Micrococcales; Micrococcaceae
Description: bacterial SSU rRNA
Rfam family: Bacterial small subunit ribosomal RNA
Source: RNAcentral
AUGAUCCCAGCUUGCUGGGGGAUUAGUGGCGAACGGGUGAGUAACACGUGAGUAACCUGCCCUUGACUCUGGGAUAAGCCUGGGAAACUGGGUCUAAUACCGGAUACGACCAUUCCACGCAUGUGGUGGUGGUGGAAAGCUUUUGUGGUUUUGGAUGGACUCGCGGCCUAUCAGCUUGUUGGUGGGGUAAUGGCCUACCAAGGCGACGACGGGUAGCCGGCCUGAGAGGGUGACCGGCCACACUGGGACUGAGACACGGCCCAGACUCCUACGGGAGGCAGCAGUGGGGAAUAUUGCACAAUGGGCGCAAGCCUGAUGCAGCGACGCCGCGUGAGGGAUGACGGCCUUCGGGUUGUAAACCUCUUUCAGUAGGGAAGAAGCGAAAGUGACGGUACCUGCAGAAGAAGCGCCGGCUAACUACGUGCCAGCAGCCGCGGUAAUACGUAGGGCGCAAGCGUUAUCCGGAAUUAUUGGGCGUAAAGAGCUCGUAGGCGGUUUGUCGCGUCUGCUGUGAAAGACCGGGGCUCAACUCCGGUUCUGCAGUGGGUACGGGCAGACUAGAGUGCAGUAGGGGAGACUGGAAUUCCUGGUGUAGCGGUGAAAUGCGCAGAUAUCAGGAGGAACACCGAUGGCGAAGGCAGGUCUCUGGGCUGUAACUGACGCUGAGGAGCGAAAGCAUGGGGAGCGAACAGGAUUAGAUACCCUGGUAGUCCAUGCCGUAAACGUUG